RNAcentral lists this ribosomal RNA (264 nucleotides) under uncultured archaeon. Its description in RNAcentral is "partial 16S ribosomal RNA". It matches the Rfam family "Archaeal small subunit ribosomal RNA", at positions 718 to 982 of the family's 1478-position model. The record is from RNAcentral.
AGUCACUGACAUUAGAUACCCCCGUAGUCCCAGCCGUAGACAAUGUGCGUUAGGUGUGUCGGUAACCACGCGUUACUGAUGCGCCGAAGAGAAAUCGUGAAACGCACCACCUGGGAAGUACGGUCGCAAGGCUGAAACUUAAAGGAAUUGGCGGGGAGCACCACAACAGGUGGAGCCUGCGGUUUAAUUGGAUUCAACGCCGGACAUCUCACCGGAUAAGACAGCUGAAUGAUUGUCAAUCUGAAGGUUAUACAUGACUAGCUG